This 497-nucleotide ribosomal RNA is filed under the name uncultured bacterium. Its description in RNAcentral is "partial 16S ribosomal RNA". It matches the Rfam family "Bacterial small subunit ribosomal RNA", at positions 28 to 507 of the family's 1533-position model. The record is from RNAcentral.
GAUGAACGCUGGCGGCGUGCCUAAUACAUGCAAGUCGAGCGAACGGACGAGAAGCUUGCUUCUCUGAUGUUAGCGGCGGACGGGUGAGUAACACGUGGAUAACCUACCUAUAAGACUGGGAUAACUUCGGGAAACCGGAGCUAAUACCGGAUGAUAUUUUGAACCGCAUGGUUCAAAAGUGAAAGACGGUCUUGCUGUCACUUAUAGAUGGAUCCGCGCUGCAUUAGCUAGUUGGUAAGGUAACGGCUUACCAAGGCAACGAUGCAUAGCCGACCUGAGAGGGUGAUCGGCCACACUGGUACUGAGACACGGUCCAGACUCCUACGGGAGGCAGCAGUAGGGAAUCUUCCGCAAUGGGCGAAAGCCUGACGGAGCAACGCCGCGUGAGUGAUGAAGGUCUUCGGAUCGUAAAACUCUGUUAUUAGGGAAGAACAUAUGUGUAAGUAACUGUGCACAUCUUGACGGUACCUAAUCAGAAAGCCACGGCUAACUACGUG